AUUGAACGCUGGCGGAAUGCUUUACACAUGCAAGUCGAACGGCAGCACGGACUUCGGUCUGGUGGCGAGUGGCGAACGGGUGAGUAAUGUAUCGGAACGUGCCCAGUCGUGGGGGAUAACGUAGUGAAAAUUACGCUAAUACCGCAUACGAUCUAUGGAUGAAAGCGGGGGAUCGCAAGACCUCGCGCGAUUGGAGCGGCCGAUAUCAGAUUAGGUAGUUGGUGGGGGAAAGGCCCACCAAGCCAACGAUCUGUAGCUGGUAUGAGAGGACGACCGGCCACACUGGAACUGGGGCACGGUCCAGACUCCUACGGGAGGCAGCAGUGGGGAAUUUUGGACAAUGGGCGAAAGCCUGAUCCAGCCAUUCCGCGUGCAGGAUGAAGGCCCUCGGGUUGUAAACUGCUUUUGUACAGAACGAAAAGGUUUCUACUAAUACUAGGAGCUCAUGACGGUACUGUAAGAAUAAGCACCGGCUAACUACGUGCCAGCCGCCGCGGUAA
RNAcentral lists this ribosomal RNA (500 nucleotides) under uncultured bacterium. RNAcentral describes it as "partial 16S ribosomal RNA". It matches the Rfam family "Bacterial small subunit ribosomal RNA", at positions 30 to 523 of the family's 1533-position model. The record is from RNAcentral.